Long non-coding RNA from Corapipo altera (White-ruffed manakin), 5331 nucleotides. RefSeq lists it as uncharacterized. The transcript has 5 exons. NCBI's taxonomy places the organism in Eukaryota, Metazoa, Chordata, Aves, Passeriformes, Pipridae. The record is from RefSeq and is a predicted model, not a curated record.
AUGCGAUCAUAAAAAACCUUAAAGAACUUCUCGGAUUUCUUGUCUUCUGUCAGUCGGCAGAAGAAGGAAUGCUACGAGAGAAAAUGAACAGGAUCUGCAGCUGAAUCCAGAUUAUCCCACCUUUUGGCACUGACUGGAGGAACUGGAGGAACUGGAGGUUAAUUAGUUGUCAGUAAACUGAAACCCAGAGCAAUGGAAAUUCAUACUUUAUUGUCAAGGAAGCCCCAGUGUCUCAGCUUUGUUAACUCCCUUAUUAACAACUUCAAAUACAUUAUUAAAGAGAAGUGAGGGCAAUAAAUCACACCACCCCUGACAGAUUUGGGCAGCACACCUCUCUCAACAAGGGAAUUAAGAUAUAGCCUCACAGCAAAAAGUGGAAAAGUCUCCCUUUUUAAAAUGGAAAUGGAGUGGCCAUUUUAGAGCACCGUCUGCUGGGGUCCUGCUUGCACACAGACACCCUGCAACCACAGCAAGGCUGCUGAAAGAGCAAGUGUGGAGGAACAGCCAACCUCCACACUCAUAUGGGUGUUUGAAGAACAGAGCUUCCAACGUGCCCCCGACAUCAGCCAUCCCUGAGCAGUCAGUCACCACCAGGCUGGGGCUUGGGAUCUCCUGAAAACCUACUGCAGGGCAGGGAAUUGUGAUCCCUAACAUCCGCAUGGGGCCGUCUCUGGCUGGCCCAGUACGAGGCACCAGAGGAGAAGCUGCCUGAAAGUGCCAUGACACAGCAGCCCAUGAGGUUUUCCCCAGGAACUCCAGGUUCAGCAAACAGCUUUACAAGUCCACACACCUCAACAAAACACAACAGAUCUCCAGAGCACAUCGACCAGCCGAGAGAAUACACCACAACUGCUCAGAGGUGACAAUAUCUGAGAUAAUGUGAUGGUCACUAAUCACACAACCACCAAACUAAACUGAAAACCACCUGCACGUGACACGCACAAGGGUCUAACAGGACAGCUACGCUCACCAUGGGCAAGGACAUCACCACAGAGCUCUCCAUCACCUUCAAAGAUGGAGCAACCACCACCUGCACAAACUCACUCAUUGUUUCAAGGGAAUGGAAGGAGAAGAACCAGCACAGCAUCAUGUCUGCAAAGUCAGUCACACCAUUCCUCCUCCUGACAUCCAAAGUGAUCUAAAACAAACUGAAGGCCAAGUUUAAAUUGCAGCACACUGACCAGCCACAGCCUGGCCCACCCUGGAGCACCAGCAGCCCCUCACUCUCCCUCAUCAACUCAGCCAAAGCUGUGUUUAAGUCACGUGUUUUUUUGAGAAAAGCAUCUGGUCUUUCUUUAGAAGGCAAAGAUGAUGAACUAUGUUUGACUAUAGGCUAUUCCAGUGGUAAAUAACUAUUAGAAACAUGUGAUUAAGCUCCUUUUUAUGUCACUAACUUCCAGUCAUUGGUAUUUUUUUGUGUCUCUUCUGUAGUUAUUCCCAGGAAUUUGGUCUCCAAUCCCCUUCUAACUAUUUACAUACUCUGUGAAAUGUUUACCUAAUGUUUCUUGCUAAACUGAAAACACUAUUUUUGCUUGCUGGCUUUUCAUUUCAGCUUUAAUAUCAUUUUCUGUGGUGGUUAUUUUUUGGCAUGUUCUUAAAUAUUGCAGAUCAUUAACAAGCUGGAUUGCAGAAGCACAUUUAAAAAAAAAUAAAUCACCAAAGAACUGGCACGUUUCCUAGCAUUAGCAUUUCAUUCCAAGACCUUUGACAUAUGUAAUACACAUAAUUUCCAGUGAUGAGUGAAAGAGAAGCUCAGCUCACUCCCCAGCGGUUCAGGGGAGGGGGAUUACAGAGGCAGGAUAACCAAGGGCAGGGACAAAUGCUCCUUAGUGUGAUUCCUGUACCAGCAAUCGGUAAAAAAAAUGGAUUUUAACCAGCAGAACUGGCAUCUGUCCUUAGGAGAACAAAGCCAUAAACCCCAGCAGCCCGGUACCUUUGUGUAAGGUGCACAGAGUAGAGACUCAGGUGACCAAUUCACUAUAAAUAUAACUAAUCCACAAUAAAUUCAAUGAUGAGUGAGUUUGUGCCCAGUGUGGGAUUAUUAAAUGGGAAAAAAACCAGGAACCAGCUGAAGGCAGUUUAUUUCCAGCUCUUGCCUUUGAAAGCCUGGCCCAGUUUGGCCUGUGUGCUGUGUCACCUUUACUGGGAACACCUUUCCCUGUGCUUUAACCUGGGUCUGCCCCGACGUCACUACUGCUUUGCCGGCCAAGAAAAGGAACAACUGUUGGAUUACUUUGUAGGAAUGGCUUGACUUUCCACCCCAGACACUAAUUCCAGGCUGGCCUGUCGGAAGGAUCAUGUGAGAAACAGAACCCAAACCUAUCAGCAAGCACUGGGUUUAAGCAGCAGCAUCUGCUCAGCUGUGUUUCCUCCCAAGAAGGGGUGGCCUGACUCGAGGCGAGCCCUUGGCUGCUGAUCCCACACGGAGAACGCGGAGCACGGAGCGCUUUUGGGACCACGCCCUCUCAAAGCUGUUUCACCACAGCACUAAGCCCUGCCAGACCCUCCUACAGAUCCCGAAGAAUUCCCCAGGAGAACAAAUAUUUGAUUACCAAGGAAUAAGGAAAAGCAAAGCCCCAGCGAACACCUCGCCAAUUAAAGCAGACUGUUGUCAUGUCCUUCCCCAUCUCCCUAGUGCCAGGGAACAGAAAAUACCCCGUGAACUUGGCGAGCCAAGGAGAUUUCAGAGAGGAAAGUCCCUCCAGAGAGAGGAGAAAGAUCAGUGAUCUGGCUUCAACUCAGAACAUUUUAUUCCAACAUUAGAGAGGAAUUCUUACAGGGACCUCAGCUCGCUCGGGUUAUCCAGCCAGGCUGCUAGCACCAAUGCAAAACUUGUGUGCUACUUCAUCUCUGCAGGAAGAGUUUGCCACCCCCAGACUAGUUCUUAGAGCUGGACUACUUCAAAAAAGCCACAUUUUAAGGGGAACUGCACUAACACAAGCACUGAAUUAAGCACAAAUGCCAACCCUCUACAUUCUGCCUAAAUAUAUUGCGAGGGCUUCCACUGCAGAAAAUUCCAACCUAACUUGCUUUCUCUCCCUCCUCAUUUAUUUGUUUAAAAUAUCACUAAUCCCUCUCUCUUGAAAUCUCUCGUACCUCCUGGUUCGCUGAAGAUCCAUCACUUUGGGUGUGAGUGAUGGAUAUCAUUAGUCUUGCAUAGCUUAAGGAAAUUGCAGCUGAAAUACUUCACGCUGAACAUACUUCACAGUUUGAAAUAAAUCCAUAAGGAAAAUCUGCCAGAACACCUCAAUUGCCUGCGUUUUUUUGCAAACUGUAAAAUAAACUUCGUCCUGAAAGCAGAAGGAGGACUUCCCAGCUCUGUUUUCCACAAAGAAGACAAAACUCUCUCUGCCAUGGGCAUCCACACACCAUCCCGCAUGGCUCUGGAGGUUCUGGUCCACCUUAUGGGGUGUGUUUUUUGGUGGGUAUGAGUGUACAAAACCUGAGCUGUGGAAAGGUUCAUCUGUCCCCACCAGCUGUAAAUGAAGCAGCAGCAGAACUACAGCAGGAAGAGCCUUUAUAUCCUCUAUGUUCUCCUACUGCAACACCCAGACUCUUGAUGCAAUUUGAAGUCAUUUCACAGAGGAAAGCAAGAACAAGCCUCCAGAGAUACAGUUCCCUCAUGCCCUUCCAGAGCCAGUACAACCCCCAGGAGCACAAGGUGACACGGGAUGAUCCCCAGGAUGUGAAGGCACACUGGGGAACCACAGGUACCAGUGUGACUGUGGGUUUGGGGUUUGUGCUCACAGAUGGCCUCGGAGCGUGGGAGCCUCGGGGCCUGCCCUGCUGUCAGCAGGGAGCCUGAUUUGGGUUCCUCUGCCCCCAGUGGGAACAGCUCCGCCGGGUCACUCGGCUCAUCCGCGGGGCAGGAGUGCGGAUCCCACUUCCCCACCGAGCAGGAGAGUGCUGUGUAGGUGUGAGAAACAGGGAAGUCUGCAGACUCCCCAAAAGAAAAAAAAAAGUGUAAGAUCUUGUUGAGAGACAGAGGAAUUAAAGAAAACCAUAGCAACAAGUCAGUCCACCUACCCAAACCACCCACCCACCACCAGUUUCAUUUGCUGACGCACUUCAAAAACAAGCUGGCUCCAACCCGCUCUGGAAGGUGAGCAAGCCCUGAGAGCUCAUUAAAUUCCCUUCUCAGCUACUCUUGUGUGCCUGCAGCUAGUGAGCAAGUGGGAUAUAAAUAGAAGUUAUAUAACAGUGCUUUGUUGAUUCCUGUGCUUACCAAAAAAAAAAAAAGGGGCAUGACCUUUUUUUUUUGAAAAGCUUUGCCUCUGCCUGCUCAGGGAGGACUUUAAUCCUGCUAGGGAUCAUCUUAAAAGUUUAGGUUGGACCUGGAUACAACAGAGAGGAAUAGGGAAAAUUAGUGAUUUGUGUCCCUGCUCCUUGCAGGACCAGGAUCAUGGUGGAAUGAUGAGAGGAUUGACACACAGGAGGUGGUACCAACAACCAAGAACAACACAAGUGCACCAAGACUGGAGAGCAAGACACAGCUGAACCCUGAGGUAGCACCUCUCCUUUUUUUCACCUACACUGCUCAGUCACACAGAUGGGCACCUCAAAAUCCAAGCAUAAAACCUUCCUGUGGGCAAAAAGACUGGAAGAUGCUCUGCUACAGGAAUCCUGAUGGCCCAAAUAUACUUCAGAAAGCAGCACCAGCUGUAGCUCAAGUGGAAAGUCCAGGUGGUACUGUUAUCAUCUCACCUCUUCCCCCCAGUACUCAAUCUCACCUUUGUAUCUCCCUGCCCUCACUGACAAUGAAAUCACCUCUGCAGGAAGGACUCCUCACACUGCAUUAUUAGUGGGCCUUGUUUGUUUUGAACCUGGUAGUAUCUAACACCUGUGGGAGAUUGAGACUUCCCUGUGCUAACUGUAUUAAAAUAUAUGUGAAGGAGAUGGAGCUCCCACUGGCUUGGCAUCCUGAGUCUGCUCCUGUGGAGCAGCAGAGCAUCAGGACAGAGGUUUCCUCGGCACUGACUCAUGGCUAGUGCAGGUCCUGUGCCUUGUUUGGAAGACAACUGCAGUGUCAAGCACGUCAGGAUUUGCAGAAGGUUUCAUUACAGAGAGGGCUCUUUCAGCAAAGGACACAGCUGAUCUUUAUGAUGCAGGUCCUUACCAACUCUGGCUUUUUAUGUCAUGUUCUGAAGUAACAUUCUCAGAAUGUCAAAAUAAUUAUGAUGUACUUUAACUUGAGCAAAACUCAUUUAAAUGGUGAAAGACACAGGUGAUUGCUUAACACGUGCUAAAAGCUUCCUGGUUGGGCAGUAGUUUCCUAAACAGGUAUCGUUAAAACAAUAUAAAAAAGAUGUAACUGUAUCAAAGAAUUAUGGA